GAGUAUUAAUAGUUAUGAUCUUUAAACUUAAAAAAUUUGGCGGUAUUAUAAUCUAUUUAGAGGAAUCUGUUAUGUAAUUGAUAAUCCACGUUGAACCUUACUUAUAUAAAUUCUUGUAUACCGCUGUUUAAGAAUAUACUCUUAGGUAAAUUUUCAGAAUAUAAUAAUAAUUAAUAUUUCAAGUCAAGGUGCAGUUAUAUAUAAGUUGAAUAAUGGAUUACAAUAAAUUUUAUUUAUUAUGGAUUAUUACUGUAACAGUAAUUUGAAGGUGGAUUUAAUUGUAAUUUUAUAAAGAUUAUUAAAAUGAUUUUUAGCUCUAUAAUAUGU
Molecule: ribosomal RNA, 327 nt
Filed under: Pseudovates chlorophaea
Lineage: Eukaryota; Metazoa; Arthropoda; Insecta; Mantodea; Mantidae
Description: partial 12S ribosomal RNA
Source: RNAcentral